GGCCUGGCUGGUCGGUCCGCCUAACCGCGUGCACUGAUUCGGCCGGGUCUUUCCUUCUGGCUAACCCCAUGCCCUUCACUGGGUGUGGCGGGGAUCCAGGACUUUUACUUUGAAAAAAUUAGAGUGUUCAAAGCAGGCCUAUACACGGUGCCUUGAAUACAUUAGCAUGGGAUAAUGGAA
RNAcentral lists this ribosomal RNA (180 nucleotides) under uncultured Glomeromycotina. RNAcentral's name for it is "partial small subunit ribosomal RNA". The record is from RNAcentral. Lineage: Eukaryota; Fungi; Glomeromycota.